CCCACAUAUAUGGAAUAUUCUCCCGAAAGGUACAUAAUAAAGGCUAGUUGAACACAAAUCUUAAUGUUUAAGAAGAUAAAUGAUGCAGCCGAUCCGAGUAAUUAAGAUAUACAUCCAGCUAUGCCAUGAUUUUAAUACGCCAAAGAACAUACAUAUAGUGAGAACUGAAAACAAUAUCACGGAAAAAAAUAACUAAAAAAAAGUAGUUGUUAUUAUUAUUAGUAGUAGUAGUAGUAGGACAAAGAGAGACAAGAACGUGAAAAGCAAUAGUAAGUUGACUUGAACUUAGGGGAAAAAAGAAGAAGAACGUGGUUUGAUUGAAGUAUGGACAGCGAGGCAAAGAAAUUAAGGCAAAUGGCAUGAGAUCGAAGAAAAUUAAGGAGACUGAGUCAGUCAGGCAGAUCAGCAAAGACCAAGCCGGGGAGUGUUGCGGAUGCCACCACAUGAACAGCAUCUGAACUAAUCAUGUGACUUUGUGUCAGAUCAAGGUGACAUGACACGCAUACAAAGUUACAAGCCCAACACGCCUUCUUGUUUGCUACUUUAUUAAUUUUUCCUUUUUUUCAGUUUUGUCACUUUUGUUCCCUUUCGCAAAUUUCACUCUUUUCCAACACUUGUUUUUCGUCUUUAUCAUUGCAUGUGUACCCCCACACAACAUCCCCCACCUUCCACCCUGUCUCUUUCAUAUAUCUGUCUCUCUUUCAGCACCACCUCUCAUCAUCAUCACCACCUUCUCAAUUACCCUCUCCACGCCUCCUAGAGAUCUCUCUCCCAAAAAACUAAAAUUGUCCAUUCAAUUUCAAUUUGCCACUAUUAAUUUCUAUCCAAAGUGAAUUGAAUUCCCUCUUAAUUUCCUCAAAUGGGUCUCGAAAUCUUAGAAGAAUUUCGGCCAAUUACACCCAUAAGAACCGUUGUUCCUACGGUUAGAACAACCUUAAAACACGAUCUAGGAACAACAACAACAACAACAAAGGAGGUGCUAAACGAGGAUGUUGUAAUUGAAGAAGAGUGCCACACACCCACAUCACCCUCUCAAAAAUUACCCACCAACCCAUUGGUGUGCCCUCCAGCUCCCAAGAAACCACGAGUAGUGCCUCGAAGACUUAAGAAUUUAGACCCACCAUCACAAGAAGGGUUCUUCCAAGUGCCCCACGAUCUGGCUUCAGUCUUCGUCCUACGCUCACCCAGCCUUCCAAGAAGAACAGCAAAGCAAGCUUUUUUCUAGGCACUUCCACAUAUUCUAUAAUAUCCGAUCGAGCCGAGGAAAAUUACUAUGGAUGAUAAAUCUUUCUCUCCGGUAUUUAACUGAACUGGAUAGACAGACUCAAACUCGAUGGUAUAUAUGAAUUUAAUUAUAUGUGUUAAUUAAUAUAAAGUAUUUUAAUUAUCACCAGGUGUAUAUUAAUUGUUUGUUUUUCUUCUCUAUAGUUGUUCCUAGAAAUUCUCAAUUCCUUAUGUUGUUAUGAAUAGUUUCAAGUGUAGGAAAUUAAUUGAUCUACUUAGUUGUAAUUAGUAAAUGGUGCGUAAUGAUCCAUCCCUCAUUUCUGCAUCUAACUGUAUUAAUGGUAAUGAAUUCAAGCACAUUAUUGUUUGUGAUAGAU
This is a long non-coding RNA of Glycine soja, 1601 nucleotides long. RefSeq lists it as uncharacterized. The record is from RefSeq and is a predicted model, not a curated record. The transcript has 2 exons. NCBI's taxonomy places the organism in Eukaryota, Viridiplantae, Streptophyta, Magnoliopsida, Fabales, Fabaceae.